This 1568-nucleotide ribosomal RNA is filed under the name Phialocephala bamuru. Its description in RNAcentral is "eukaryotic LSU rRNA". The stretch from base 217 to 1568 matches the Rfam family "Eukaryotic large subunit ribosomal RNA", at positions 1 to 1094 of the family's 3401-position model. The record is from RNAcentral. Lineage: Eukaryota; Fungi; Ascomycota; Leotiomycetes; Helotiales; Mollisiaceae.
UCAUCGAAUCUUUGAACGCACAUUGCGCCCGGUGGUAUUCCGCCGGGCAUGCCUGUUCGAGCGUCAUUAUAACCACUCAAGCCUGGCUUGGUAUUGGGGUUCGCGGUUCCGCGGCCCCUAAAAUCAGUGGCGGUGCCGGUGGGCUCUAAGCGUAGUAAAUCUCCUCGCUAUAGGGUCCCUCCGGUUGCCUGCCAGAACCCCCCAUUUUUUUAAGGUUGACCUCGGAUCAGGUAGGGAUACCCGCUGAACUUAAGCAUAUCAAUAAGCGGAGGAAAAGAAACCAACAGGGAUUACCUCAGUAACGGCGAGUGAAGCGGUAACAGCUCAAAUUUGAAAGCUGCCAACAGGCCGCGUUGUAAUUUGUAGAAGAUGCUUUGGGGGCCGGCCUAGUCUAAGUUCCUUGGAACAGGACGUCAUAGAGGGUGAGAAUCCCGUAUGUGAUUAGUGCCUGCUCCCGUGUAAAGCUCUUUCGACGAGUCGAGUUGUUUGGGAAUGCAGCUCAAAAUGGGUGGUAUAUUUCAUCUAAAGCUAAAUAUUGGCCAGAGACCGAUAGCGCACAAGUAGAGUGAUCGAAAGAUGAAAAGCACUUUGGAAAGAGAGUUAAACAGUACGUGAAAUUGUUGAAAGGGAAGCGCUUGCAACCAGACUUGCAGGCGGUCGAUCAUCCGAGGUUCUCCCCGGUGCACUCGAUCGUCUUCAGGCCAGCAUCGGUUUUGGUGGCGGGAUAAAGGCUCUAGGAAUGUGGCUCUUCGGAGUGUUAUAGCCUAGGGUGCAAUGCCGCCUACCGGGACCGAGGACCGCGCUUCGGCUAGGAUGCUGGCGUAAUGGUUGUAAGCGGCCCGUCUUGAAACACGGACCAAGGAGUCUAACAUCUAUGCGAGUGUUUGGGUGUCAAACCCAUACGCGUAAUGAAAGUGAACGGAGGUGAGAGCCCUUUAGGGCGCAUCAUCGACCGAUCGUGAUGUCUUCGGAUGGAUUUGAGUAAGAGCAUAGCUGUUGGGACCCGAAAGAUGGUGAACUAUGCGUGAAUAGGGUGAAGCCAGAGGAAACUCUGGUGGAGGCUCGCAGCGGUUCUGACGUGCAAAUCGAUCGUCAAAUUUGCGUAUAGGGGCGAAAGACUAAUCGAACCAUUGGAACACUACUAGGUGGUUAAGAGGCAAGAGAUCUAGUCCACCCGGUGGGCAACACUCUCAAAUUGCGGGGACGUCCUGUUAGUGCACCGCUACCGCAGCCGCUCCGAAAGGACGGUGAGCACCGGCUCUGGCGCCGGGGAUGGUAACAACGCGCGUGCUAGGGAUAAUCCGCAGCCAACUCCUACGGGCCCUCAGGGCCUACGGACGCAGUUCACAGACUAAAUGUGAGUGGGCUCUCCGAGCUUAAGUGAUAGUCGACCCCCCGCGAGAGCGGGCGGAAGCAGUGCUAGUAGCUGGUUCCUGCCGAAGUUUCCCUCAGGAUAGCAGUGUUGUUUUCAGUUUUAUGAGGUAAAGCGAAUGAUUAGAGGCCUUGGGGUUGAAACAACCUUAACCUAUUCUCAAACUUUAAAUAUGUAAGAAGUCCUUGUUGCUUAA